GACGAACGCUGGCGGCGUGCUUAACACAUGCAAGUCGAACGGAAAGGCCCCUUUGGGGGUGCUCGAGUGGCGAACGGGUGAGUAACACGUGAGUAACCUGCCCUUGACUUCGGGAUAACUUCAGGAAACUGGGGCUAAUACCGGAUAGGAAUCCUUGCUGCAUGGUGGGGGUUGGAAAGCUUCGGCGGUUUUGGAUGGACUCGCGGCUUAUCAGCUUGUUGGUGGGGUAGUGGCUUACCAAGGCUUUGACGGGUAGCCGGCCUGAGAGGGCGACCGGCCACAUUGGGACUGAGAUACGGCCCAGACUCCUACGGGAGGCAGCAGUGGGGAAUAUUGCACAAUGGGCGGAAGCCUGAUGCAGCAACGCCGCGUGCGGGAUGACGGCCUUCGGGUUGUAAACCGCUUUCAGCAGGGGCGAAGCUUGUGGUGACGGUACCUGCAGAAGAAGCACCGGCUAACUACGUG
RNAcentral lists this ribosomal RNA (465 nucleotides) under uncultured bacterium. RNAcentral describes it as "partial 16S ribosomal RNA". It matches the Rfam family "Bacterial small subunit ribosomal RNA", at positions 28 to 507 of the family's 1533-position model. The record is from RNAcentral.